This 253-nucleotide ribosomal RNA is filed under the name uncultured bacterium. RNAcentral's name for it is "partial 16S ribosomal RNA". It matches the Rfam family "Bacterial small subunit ribosomal RNA", at positions 524 to 776 of the family's 1533-position model. The record is from RNAcentral.
UACGUAGGGGGCCAGCGUUGUUCGGAAUUACUGGGCGUAAAGGGUUCGUAGGCGGUGUGGCAAGUCGGGAGUGAAAUCUCUGGGCUCAACUCAGAGACUGCUUCCGAAACUGCUGUGCUGGAGUGUGGGAGAGGCGCGUGGAAUUGCAGGUGUAGCGGUGAAAUGCGUAGAUAUCUGCAGGAACACCCGUGGCGAAAGCGGCGCGCUGGACCACUACUGACGCUGAGGAACGAAAGCUAGGGGAGCAAACAGG